GAAAUCUCAACCAUUAGGGUUUCUUAAUGGCUUGGAUUUGGGCGUUGCCAGUAGCCUGGCUCGCCUUAAAAGAGUUAGCGUGUUUAACUUGUCGUAUCUGGCGUAAUAAGUUUCGCUGGUGUUGACUUGAGAAGUGCGCUUCUAAUCGUCCUCGGACAAUUCUUGAACUC
Molecule: unclassified non-coding RNA, 170 nt
Filed under: Cutaneotrichosporon cavernicola
Lineage: Eukaryota; Fungi; Basidiomycota; Tremellomycetes; Trichosporonales; Trichosporonaceae
Source: RNAcentral